RNAcentral lists this non-coding RNA (30 nucleotides) under Rattus norvegicus (Norway rat). Lineage: Eukaryota; Metazoa; Chordata; Mammalia; Rodentia; Muridae. The record is from RNAcentral.
UGGCCUUCAUGAAACACUUCAAGGUGCUGA